Molecule: ribosomal RNA, 405 nt
Filed under: uncultured bacterium
Lineage: Bacteria
Description: partial 16S ribosomal RNA
Rfam family: Bacterial small subunit ribosomal RNA
Source: RNAcentral
AUUGAACGCUAGCGGCAUGCUUUACACGUGCAAGUCGAACGAGUGGCGGACGGGUGAGUAAUAUAUCUGAACGUGCCCAGUAGCGGGGGAUAACUACUCGAAAGAGUGGCUAAUACCGCAUACCAUCGGAGCGGCCGAUAUCGGAUUAGCUAGUUGGUGGGGUAAAGGCUCACCAAGGCAACGAUCCGUAGCUGGUUUGAGAGGACGACCAGCACAACUGGGACUGAGACACGGCCCAGACUCCUACGGGAGGAAGCAGUGGGGAAUGUUGGACAAUGGGGGAAACCCUGAUCCAGCCAUCCCGCGUGUAUGAGAAGGCCUUCGGGUUGUAAAGUACUUUGGGCAGAGAAGCGGUAUCUGCAGAAUAAGCACCGGCUAACUACGUGCCAGCAGCCGCGGUAAUAC